GGGGCCGUGGCUUAGUGGUAGAGAAUCUGCUUUACAUGCAGAAGGUCCCAGGUUCAAUCCCUGACGUCUCCA
This is a non-coding RNA of Euleptes europaea (tarantolino), 72 nucleotides long. The record is from the annotation of a RefSeq genome assembly. NCBI's taxonomy places the organism in Eukaryota, Metazoa, Chordata, Lepidosauria, Squamata, Sphaerodactylidae.